This 253-nucleotide ribosomal RNA is filed under the name uncultured bacterium. Its description in RNAcentral is "partial 16S ribosomal RNA". It matches the Rfam family "Bacterial small subunit ribosomal RNA", at positions 524 to 776 of the family's 1533-position model. The record is from RNAcentral.
UACGGAGGGGGCUAGCGUUGUUCGGAAUUACUGGGCGUAAAGCGCACGUAGGCGGCUUUGUAAGUUAGAUGUGAAAGUCCUGGGCUUAACCUGGGGACUGCAUUUGAUACUGGGUUGCUUGAAUUCGGGAGAGGAUAGCGGAAUUCCCAGUGUAGAGGUGAAAUUCGUAGAUAUUGGGAAGAACACCGGUGGCGAAGGCGGCUAUCUGGACCGACAUUGACGCUGAGGCGCGAAAGCGUGGGGAGCAAACAGG